Passer domesticus (house sparrow) is the source of this 583-nucleotide long non-coding RNA. RefSeq lists it as uncharacterized. Lineage: Eukaryota; Metazoa; Chordata; Aves; Passeriformes; Passeridae. The record is from RefSeq and is a predicted model, not a curated record. The transcript has 4 exons.
CAAUCAUUUAUCCCUUUUUUUUUUUUUUUUUUGGUUUUGUUUUGUUUUUCCUGUUUUUUUUUUUUUUUCUUGGCAAGGCCACUGCACUUAUUGCAGCAGGCAGUCUGAGUAUGGGCCAUGUACUAGGCUUGAAAAUGUUCCAGACAAAAUAUUAUUAUACUGGUUUUACAUUGGACUUGGGUGAUGUGAUGUUGCUGCUGCCCUGACUUCCAGUUUUCAGGUCUGCAGGAAUCUUGUUUCCAAGUAUUGUUCCUGUAUCCAGCAAGACUAGAAGCAAAUUUAAGAAGUGGGAGCCAGCAUUUUCAUGUGAUGGCAAUAUUCCAGAAACUGGUGCUCUAGGAUAAACAGUAAAUACUGUGACAUCUCCUCAGCAUGAAACCUGUCUUUGUUUCCAGCAUCCAAACCUAAAAGUAACAAAUAUGGUAUUACCAGUGUACUCUUCUGAAGAUGGAGUUCAGCUAGCUUGCAGGCUUGUUCACACCUGGUGUUGUAGAGGAUUUUGUGUGUAGUCUCCUGGGAGCUGUUCAUGCCAGCUGUGCUGAGCAAACUGAGGUGGCUGAUUGCAAUCAACAGUAACUUCAGA